GGAAUCUUGCGCAAUGGGCGAAAGCCUGACGCAGCAACGCCGCGUGCGGGAAGAAGGCUUUCGGGCUGUAAACCGCUUUCAGUAGGAACGAAACUGACGGUACCUACAGAAGAAGGAGCGGCCAACUAUGUGCCAGCAGCCGCGGUGACACAUAGGCUCCAAGCGUUGUCCGGAUUUAUUGGGCGUAAAGAGCUCGUAGGCGGUUGAGUAAGUCGGGUGUGAAAACUUUGGGCUUAACCCAAAGAUGCCACUCGAUACUGUUCAACUUGAGUUUGGUAGGGGAGUGGGGAAUUCCUUGUGUAGCGGUGAAAUGCGCAGAUAUAAGGAGGAACACCGGUGGCGAAGGCGCCACUCUGGGCCAAUACUGACGCUGAGGAGCGAAAGCGUGGGGAGCAAACAGGAUUAGAUACCCUGGUAGUCCACGCGGUAAACGGUGGUCACUAGGUGUGGGUCUCUUCAAACGAGAUCUGCGCCGUCGCUAACGCAUUAAGUGACCCGCCUGGGGAGUACGGUCGCAAGACUAAAACUCAAAGGAAUUGACGG
RNAcentral lists this ribosomal RNA (543 nucleotides) under uncultured bacterium. Its description in RNAcentral is "bacterial SSU rRNA". It matches the Rfam family "Bacterial small subunit ribosomal RNA", at positions 358 to 916 of the family's 1533-position model. The record is from RNAcentral.